Molecule: long non-coding RNA, 673 nt
Organism: Cataglyphis hispanica
Lineage: Eukaryota; Metazoa; Arthropoda; Insecta; Hymenoptera; Formicidae
Exons: 3
Source: RefSeq, a predicted model, not a curated record
GCGAGCAUAAGAAAGCGAAAGAAACGUGUUUUGGGCGAAAGAAAGUUUCGAGAGCAAGUGUGUGAGAAAGCGUGAGCAAGAGCGAGGAGGGAUCCCGGCCGAGAGAUAAGCGGGUGCGAGGGAUUGCGGCUGGACCUCGAGAGGCCGAACAGCGAGAAGUGGCCGAGCGCCCGGAUCCCCGAGGAAAGAGCUUCGUUGCCGGUGAAUUACUUUUAAAGUGUGGGCGGAUUUACCGUAAAAGAAUUUAUUAAUCUUUCUUUCAAAGAAGGUAUUAAAGAUAAUGCUACAGCGUCAUUCACAUGGCUUGAUCGAGAAGAAAAUCUACAACCUCUACAUAAUAAGCGCAUAAUAAUGGCAGUAUAUGAUGCUGUUUGCAACAAUCAUUAUUUUAAUAAACCAACUAAGGCAGAUUUUCAAGUUAAUAUGAAAGAAGCAUUACGUUCAGCGAUAUCGAAUGAGCAUCCGCAAAUCAAACGAACGGGAACAACGUGCACCCAUUUUUCGGAAUCAAGCAGAGAGCAAAAAUCCAAAAUGAAUCCGCUUAAUAUAAUGUUAGAACUAAAAAUUAACAAUAAAGGUAAUAAAAUAGACUGCAUUGUUGAAUUUUUCUUGGAAUAAACGGAUUAUCUUUUUAAAAAUAUAGAAUGUGUAGAGAAAGCAAAAAUUGUGAUAU